This 500-nucleotide ribosomal RNA is filed under the name Priestia megaterium. RNAcentral's name for it is "bacterial SSU rRNA". It matches the Rfam family "Bacterial small subunit ribosomal RNA", at positions 27 to 508 of the family's 1533-position model. The record is from RNAcentral. Lineage: Bacteria; Bacillati; Bacillota; Bacilli; Caryophanales; Bacillaceae.
GGAUGAACGCUGGCGGCGUGCCUAAUACAUGCAAGUCGAGCGAACUGAUUAGAAGCUUGCUUCUAUGACGUUAGCGGCGGACGGGUGAGUAACACGYGGGCAACCUGCCUGUAAGACUGGGAUAACUUCGGGAAACCGAAGCUAAUACCGGAUAGGAUCUUCUCCUUCAUGGGAGAUGAUUGAAAGAUGGUUUCGGCUAUCACUUACAGAUGGGCCCGCGGUGCAUUAGCUAGUUGGUGAGGUAACGGCUCACCAAGGCAACGAUGCAUAGCCGACCUGAGAGGGUGAUCGGCCACACUGGGACUGAGACACGGCCCAGACUCCUACGGGAGGCAGCAGUAGGGAAUCUUCCGCAAUGGACGAAAGUCUGACGGAGCAACGCCGCGUGAGUGAUGAAGGCUUUCGGGUCGUAAAACUCUGUUGUUAGGGAAGAACAAGUACRAGAGUAACUGCUYGUACCUUGACGGUACCUAACCAGAAAGCCACGGCUAACUACGUGC